RNAcentral lists this ribosomal RNA (497 nucleotides) under uncultured bacterium. Its description in RNAcentral is "partial 16S ribosomal RNA". It matches the Rfam family "Bacterial small subunit ribosomal RNA", at positions 28 to 507 of the family's 1533-position model. The record is from RNAcentral.
GAUGAACGCUGGCGGCGUGCCUAAUACAUGCAAGUCGAGCGAACGGACGAGAAGCUUGCUUCUCUGAUGUUAGCGGCGGACGGGUGAGUAACACGUGGAUAACCUACCUAUAAGACUGGGAUAACUUCGGGAAACCGGAGCUAAUACCGGAUGAUAUUUUGAACCGCAUGGUUCAAAAGUGAAAGACGGUCUUGCUGUCACUUAUAGAUGGAUCCGCGCUGCAUUAGCUAGUUGGUAAGGUAACGGCUUACCAAGGCAACGAUGCAUAGCCGACCUGAGAGGGUGAUCGGCCACACUGGAACUGAGACACGGUCCAGACUCCUACGGGAGGCAGCAGUAGGGAAUCUUCCGCAAUGGGCGAAAGCCUGGCGGAGCAACGCCGCGUGAGUGAUGAAGGUCUUCGGAUCGUAAAACUCUGUUAUUAGGGAAGAACAUAUGUGUAAGUAACUGUGCACAUCUUGACGGUACCUAAUCGGAAAGCCACGGCUAACUACGUG